RNAcentral lists this ribosomal RNA (292 nucleotides) under uncultured bacterium. RNAcentral describes it as "partial 16S ribosomal RNA". It matches the Rfam family "Bacterial small subunit ribosomal RNA", at positions 505 to 796 of the family's 1533-position model. The record is from RNAcentral.
GUGUCAGCCGCCGCGGUAAGACAGAGGGUGCAAACGUUGUUCGGAAUUACUGGGCGUAAAGCGCGUGUAGGCUGCUUGGAAAGUCGGAUGUGAAAGCCCUGGGCUCAACCUAGGAAGUGCAUUCGAAACUUCUGAGCUGGAGUGCUGGAGAGGAAGGCGGAAUUCUCGGUGUAGAGGUGAAAUUCGUAGAUAUCGAGAGGAACACCGGUGGCGAAGGCGGCCUUCUGGACAGUAACUGACGCUGAGACGCGAAAGCGUGGGGAGCAAACAGGAUUAGAAACCCCCGUAGUCC